AUCCCGUGAACCAUCGAGUUUUUGAACGCAAGUUGCGCCCGAAGCCUUCGGGCCGAGGGCACGCCUGCCUGGGCGCCCCGCAUCGCGUCGCCCCCCUCCCCCCUCCAGCGGAGAAAAAAGAGGCGGGGGCGGAGACUGGCCUCCCGUGCGCCCCGUCGCGCGGCCGGCCC
This 170-nucleotide ribosomal RNA is filed under the name Conocalyx laxus. RNAcentral's name for it is "5.8S ribosomal RNA". The stretch from base 1 to 78 matches the Rfam family "5.8S ribosomal RNA", at positions 79 to 154 of the family's 154-position model. Lineage: Eukaryota; Viridiplantae; Streptophyta; Magnoliopsida; Lamiales; Acanthaceae. The record is from RNAcentral.